Procambarus clarkii (red swamp crayfish) is the source of this 559-nucleotide non-coding RNA. NCBI's taxonomy places the organism in Eukaryota, Metazoa, Arthropoda, Malacostraca, Decapoda, Cambaridae. The record is from RefSeq and is a predicted model, not a curated record.
GUGGACUAGGUGGUGGUCGGGGCAGUCGGGACCUGCCUGACCCAGGUGCUGCUAGGCUAGUCAGGGCUGGACCGUCCUGACUGGAGAAUAGGAGGCAAUUAUGUGAGGGGGCUAAGUGGCCGCGAGGGUGGGUAGCAGAGAGAGGAAGGUGCGUGGUAUAGAGGACCCACUCUGGCUACAACUACCGCCGCCAUUACAUUCGCCACAACACUCACCGACCACCACACUAGCUACAACCACCGCCACAUUCGCCACAACCACCACCACAUGCUCGCCACCGCAGACCAGAGAGUUGAGGACGAGGAUGGACGUGGAUCGCACCAGCGGGCACCUUUAAACUAUUAUCUGAAUGCUCAAGGAUACGACGCUCCACCAACGGAGAGAAAAACAAGAGGAUGGUGCAACUAAGAUGUGAUCACUGUGAAAGUCGAGGGUCGUAUUUGAUCGCUCUCUCCCUUAGGCUACUACACUAUGGUAUUAUCACUGUUGGUCGUGACAUUGCUAUUCUCUCGCAGGAUUUUUCUCUUGGUCUUCAUAAGUUUUGAUUAUAUAGGCGUUU